UACGUAGGGUGCGAGCGUUGUCCGGAAUUAUUGGGCGUAAAGGGCUCGUAGGCGGUUUGUCGCGUCGGGAGUGAAAACCCAGGGCUUAACCCUGGGCUGGCUUCCGAUACGGGCAGACUAGAGGUAUGCAGGGGAGAACGGAAUUCCUGGUGUAGCGGUGAAAUGCGCAGAUAUCAGGAGGAACACCGGUGGCGAAGGCGGAUCUCUGGGCCUUACCUGACGCUCAGGUGCGAAAGCUAGGGGAGCGAACAGG
Molecule: ribosomal RNA, 253 nt
Filed under: uncultured bacterium
Lineage: Bacteria
Description: partial 16S ribosomal RNA
Rfam family: Bacterial small subunit ribosomal RNA
Source: RNAcentral